RNAcentral lists this long non-coding RNA (1005 nucleotides) under Gallus gallus (chicken). Its description in RNAcentral is "lncRNA (ENSGALG00010008678.1)". The record is from RNAcentral. Lineage: Eukaryota; Metazoa; Chordata; Aves; Galliformes; Phasianidae.
UCUGGGUAGCAAUUGUUGUCUUAGGCUGUUGGAAAGGGGUGAGCUAUUGCUCCACAGUGUCUGUAUCCCCAUUAGAAGGUGCUGUUAUCACCUUGUUUUGCCAUACAUUUAGCAAAAUUUGCAGUGGAGCUCUGAUUAAUAUCAAAAACUUUUUGUUGUACUUUAGCUAGCUUCUGAAAUGAAAUUUUGACUCUCCUUCUGUUGGUAUAAAAAUGUCAGUUAGGAUUGUGAUUCUCUGAAGUAUUACAUCAAUAAGGAUUUAUAACAUAGACCUGGACUUUUAAAUCAACUGUCUAGCUUGUAUACAUAAAAUAGGCACUGCUGAAAGCUGGAGUAGAUUGAAGGGAACAGUUGUUUUCUGCUUUGAAGUUAGGAUGGAAUUAACUGUAUUUUCAGGAGAGGAAUCUGUUCUACAGCACUGUCCAACUGAAUUUGCACUUGUAGUUGAAAAACUUAAUGUAAGGCAGAAGGGAGGGAAGGCCUUCUGAAUUUUGAAAGUAUACUUCAGUGUUUAGGAAAAAAAAAUAACUGGAAAACAGUCCUGUGGCUUUUACCCCUAAGCUACAUCACUCUGUGAUCUACUGAUCCCUACUGAACAGUUUGGAAAGCAGCAUGUGAACUUGCUUAGAGACACCUUCACAGAGCCUGAUUUUUCAUGGAGAAUGUACAUAACACUCAAAAUCAGAGCCUUCCGUGUGACUCAAGCUGAGUUCUGAGAACUAACACUACAGAAACCUUUUUUAUUCUGACUCUUGCCCUUACUUAACUUCCUGGUUUGAAAUAUAAAACAUAGCUUGACUUAAUGCAGACGUGUAAGCACUAUUAAAUACAAUUCAGUCAUUUCUAAAACUGUUUCAACUACUGCAAAGUAUAGAAUAUCUACAAAUACAGCAGUCUGAAAUGUAAGACAUGCUGAAAAGCUUCUUGUGUACAUCUUCCCCAUAAUCUUACAAUUUAAGCACCAGAGCAGUGCAGUCUCAGUGGGUGAAAUUGAUAGUAAUCCAU